Molecule: ribosomal RNA, 432 nt
Filed under: uncultured bacterium
Lineage: Bacteria
Description: partial 16S ribosomal RNA
Rfam family: Bacterial small subunit ribosomal RNA
Source: RNAcentral
CCUACGGGAGGCAGCAGUGGGGAAUAUUGGACAAUGGGGGCAACCCUGAUCCAGCAAUGCCGCGUGAGUGAUGAAGGCCUUCGGGUUGUAAAGCUCUUUUGCCAGGGACGCGGUACCUGGAGAAUAAGCCCCGGCUAACUUCGUGCCAGCAGCCGCGGUAAUACGAAGGGGGCUAGCGUUGUUCGGAAUUACUGGGCGUAAAGGGCGCGUAGGCGGUUUGAUUAGUCAGAUGUGAAAUUCCCGGGCUUAACCUGGGGGCUGCAUUUGAUACUGUCAGGCUUGAAUUCGGGAGAGGAUAGCGGAAUUCCCAGUGUAGAGGUGAAAUUCGUAGAUAUUGGGAAGAACACCGGUGGCGAAGGCGGCUAUCUGGACCGAAUUGACGCUGAGGCGCGAAAGCGUGGGGAGCAAACAGGAUUAGAUACCCUUGUAGUC